RNAcentral lists this unclassified non-coding RNA (841 nucleotides) under Hevea brasiliensis (rubber tree). The record is from RNAcentral. Lineage: Eukaryota; Viridiplantae; Streptophyta; Magnoliopsida; Malpighiales; Euphorbiaceae.
UAUUGUCUGGCUUUUUUCUUUCUCAUCAUUUUCUUUCAUUUUCUAGGUGUUUCUUUCCUAAAAACCAAAACAACCAAAGUUAAAAAUCAACACAUUCUCUUUUUUUGAACAAAAUUAUGCGUUUCCGGCUGGUCUUCAUGCUCUAGCGACAGACAACUAUCCCGCUUGGUUGAAAAUAUGGAAAAAUGGCUCGAGAAGUUCUCAUACCUAGGUCAAUUCGCUCCACCUCUGUUUGUUUCCAAAGCUUGCUUCUUUUCGCUAAAACCAUUUCUUAUUCUUGAAUAAUAUUGUUCGAUUUCUGUUCUAUGGUAGUUUUGCUCACGUUUCGUUCCUAUUCGGUGUUUUACUGAUUAGGUUCUUUAGGAUAGUUUCAUUUUUUAGUGAGAAGUACAUUCAAGUUUCGAAAUUUUUGCUUUCUGUCCUACUAAGAAUGCUCUGCCUCUUGUUUGAGCAUGUAGGUGACAUGAAACUGUUAGAAUUCAUUUUAGUUUGGGUUUGAGAAAUUUGACACAAUCUUCAAGGAAAUCAAGAUUGCUGAGUCCAUUUGUUGUGGGUAAAGUUUUAGGAAUUUUCAUCCAUAAAGCCUUUGGAAAAAAAGCGAUUUUAGACAAGAAAAAUCCAUAUAUAACAUGGAAUGGCUUUUCUAGGUAAGGAAAGCUAUUCUUUUGAAAAUAAGGUAAGAUGCGCGCCACAGCCACAGGGACCAAUAUUCUUGCGCGUUCUUUGUUUCUUUCUUUAUGUUUCCUUCUUUUUUUUUUUUUUCCUUUCACUUUCUCGCUCUUUCUUAUCUAAAACCCAAACAAACAAAUUAAAAACCUUCACAUUCUCCUCAUUUUAAGAC